AGUAGGACAGAGCAGCUGUGUUCUGGGAUGUUUCUAGGUUUGGAAGAGCAAAUUCUGGGCAGAAGAGUUCUUGACAAUAUACUAUGCAAUAUACUAUGAGUAGUUGGUCCAAGUGGCCUCUCUCAUGUUCUCUCUUGCCAUAAGCAGAGCAUUCAGUCAACAGGGAGGACAUUGAAGAAAAACAAAAAUGAUGCCAAAAACAAAAAGAGAUUGGGGAUUAAAUCCUGCUGUCUUGUCUACCUGAUGCAGAAUUAUACUCUGUCCUCCUGCUCAUCAGCUGACAGCACCAGCUGUGGUUUGGGGGAAGUGGCCUCACAGGGUCGCAUUGGACCUCCUGGCAGCCUGAGAUUGGCCUGUGGCUGCAGGUUCCCCAUCCUUCUUUUAGGUGGAAGGAAGUUGAGAGUGUGUUUCUUCAGCUCUUUUCAGCCUUUCCUGAUCAAUCUGUGUUCGCUUUUUUGUAGACCACUUUUUCUUUUUCUUUUUGCUUUGUCACAGCAGAAUUUUUUAAGGAUGAAAAGCUUGCAAUCUUUAUUUGUGGGAGAGAAGGGGGACACCAAAACUCUGUCUUCUUCCAUCUCUAGCAACCAUUGAAGAUAGGGUGGAGCCAGUGGAGAGCAGAAGGCAGGAGACAACCUGUCUAGGGAGAAGGGUCACGAGGGUUUAGUGAAACAAGAGGCUAUAGAAGGUGUGAGUGGAUCCCUCAUGCAGUUAUUCACUCGGUUACAUGCCUUCCUGUCAACCGUGCAGCUCUGCAGACUCCAAGAGGACAGCAUAAAAAUUGCUUUGCUAAACAGUUGAUAAACAGGACUAAUUGAUGCCAGCUUACACAGAGCUAAGCUAAAACACAGGACUUGUCUGUAACGUCGCAAAAAUGGCAUGGUUUUUUCACUUGCAAUCAUUUUGUUUGAAUGAACUAUACAAAGUUCUGACUGAGUGGCUCAGCAAGAUGCUUAGCAAACAUAUUCUUGCCAACUGCUGUGAGGUGUAACCUAUCUCUUGCCAGAAGUCCUUACUCAAGAAAGCGGAGAAGAAGUCAAACCUUUCCUGACAACAUCCCCUGUGCAGCCAGUGGUUUACUUCCAGUAUUUUCCUCCUUCCUGGGCCACGACUUUCAUCAGGAAAGAGUGUUGAAAAAAACCUCUGUGCCCCAUGGUCCUUGAGCUUCCAGUCCAGAGUCUCAUAGUUCCUUGCUAUACAUCAAGGGCUGUGUCUGGCAGUAUCAUUUGAAUGCACGUGGAUCAGAAGGGAGGGGUUGUGACCAGUGGGCUUUAUAAGCCUUGGCAACUUCUCUGUCCUUGAAUUGUUGCACCCAGGACAUCCUGUUACCUCUGCACACUGCUGCCUCUGUCCCCCUCAGUAAGGAGUCCCCUUCCACCAACCCAAGUCCCUUCCUCCUCUGGGGAGUGGCAGGAAUCAUUCCAUACACAGUGCCUUCCAAAACCACCUCAGAGUGUUCUAAGCUCUGCAACUUAUAUUUCUUGAUCCUCUGGCCCAGUAUCUGUGUCUGAGGUGAGCGCAAGGAAUUAAUUUUGCAGCUCCAGUGACACAGCAUGGCUUCUGACAGUACUGCUUCUGUGAGCCAAGUUCCUCCAGGAGUUUGUCUCCUGCAACGGGCAAUCUUCCUCCUCUGAAGUUGUUCUUCCAGGACAGUCCACUCAGCUCUAUCAAGAAAGUCAUCAUCUUGCCCAGUAAUUUGAAGGGUGACUUGGCUGGCCUCAAGUUGCUAUACCUUCUCUUCCAGCGAGGCAACCAGCUUGCACUUGCUGCAGGUGUAGUUUUGCACAUUCUGAGGCAGAAAGACAAAUAUGGCACAGGCGUUGCAGGUCACUUCAGUAGCCCCCUCAUCAUCCAUGUCUCUUAGUCCUACAGACACCGUGAGACGGCACUCUUGGCCUUCUCUUCCAAAUGUCCUCACCAACACUCUUGUUUAUUUGCAAGCUCUCAGAAGCUGCUAUCAGCCAAGUCUACCUGCUGCUAGCUGAUAACCCCUCUGCCCACUCCCUCCCUUGUUCAGCCUGGCUUCCUCUUGGCAGUAGCAUGCAGCCACACCCACAGCCAAGCCGCCAAGCAGCUCAGACAAGCAACCAGCCUUAAUCCCAAAGAGAUAAGCUCACUCUUUUUAGUCUCCUCCACCAAUUUCUCCCACUGUUGUUUUGUCAAAUCUAUUGUGCAUGUGCUGCUGCUGCUGCUGGGGGUUCCCAAAAGGAAGAAAGAUGCAAUAGAAAUGUUUGAAUAAAUAAACAAAAUACAGUGGUACCUCGGGUUACAUACGCUUCAGAAUUAAGUUCUUAACCCGAGGUACCACUGUACUUAUUCUAGCAUGCUGUAAAAUUCAUCUAUUUCUUGGUACUGGAGGAAUUGAAAUUCACCCUUGAGAUUCAACAAGGGUUGUAGGUGGUGCUUUUCUUCCAGAAAAAGAAAAGGUGUCAAUACUCACUACGAAGUUGUAAUAGUCAGUGCCACACUUUUAACCAAUGCUUUUCAUUGGCGGUGUGGGUGUGUCGGUACUGCGUACCCCUGAGUACCCCCAGAAAAGAAUUUGCUCAACAUGGAAUAAUCUAAGGUCUGGUCCCAAUCAGUUUUAUUUGGAAGCAUUUAUUUUCAUUUCAAGUGUGUAGGUUUAAGACCGCAGCCCUUAGGUGUCUUCUGAUAUGUAUUUUGUACCAUAUGCUGAGGUAUACAUUAAUAUCACAGAAAUAAAUCCUUCAUCAUUCUCU
Long non-coding RNA from Podarcis raffonei (Aeolian wall lizard), 2717 nucleotides. RefSeq lists it as uncharacterized. The transcript is spliced from 2 exons. Lineage: Eukaryota; Metazoa; Chordata; Lepidosauria; Squamata; Lacertidae. The record is from RefSeq and is a predicted model, not a curated record.